GUGUUAGUUGCUACACAUAUACUAAAUUGGAACGAUACAGAGAAGAUUAGGCAUGGCCCGCCUGCCGCAAGGAUGGACACGCAAAUUCGUGAAGCGUUCCUCAUUUUG
RNAcentral lists this small nuclear RNA (108 nucleotides) under Neogobius melanostomus (round goby). Lineage: Eukaryota; Metazoa; Chordata; Actinopteri; Gobiiformes; Gobiidae. The record is from RNAcentral.